Molecule: ribosomal RNA, 253 nt
Filed under: uncultured bacterium
Lineage: Bacteria
Description: partial 16S ribosomal RNA
Rfam family: Bacterial small subunit ribosomal RNA
Source: RNAcentral
UACGUAGGGCGCAAGCGUUGUCCGGAAUUAUUGGGCGUAAAGAGCUCGUAGGCGGUUUGUCGCGUCUGUCGUGAAAGCUUGGGGCUUAACCCCAAGUCUGCGGUGGAUACGGGCAGACUAGAGGCAGGUAGGGGAGAACGGAAUUCCCGGUGUAGCGGUGAAAUGCGCAGAUAUCAGGAAGAACACCUAUGGCGAAGGCAGCUCUCUGGGACGGUACUGACGCUGAGACGCGAAAGCGUGGGGAGCGAACAGG